This 253-nucleotide ribosomal RNA is filed under the name uncultured bacterium. Its description in RNAcentral is "partial 16S ribosomal RNA". It matches the Rfam family "Bacterial small subunit ribosomal RNA", at positions 524 to 776 of the family's 1533-position model. The record is from RNAcentral.
UACGAAGGGGGCUAGCGUUGCUCGGAAUUACUGGGCGUAAAGGGCGCGUAGGCGGACAGUUUAGUCAGAGGUGAAAGCCCAGGGCUCAACCCUGGAAUUGCCUUUGAUACUGACUGUCCUGAGUACGGGAGAGGUGUGUGGAACUCCGAGUGUAGAGGUGAAAUUCGUAGAUAUUCGGAAGAACACCAGUGGCGAAGGCGACAUACUGGUCCGUUACUGACGCUGAGGCUCGAAAGCGUGGGGAGCAAACAGG